GCGGANCGAGUUAUCUGAACCUUCGGGGGACGAUAACGGCGUCGAGCGGCGGACGGGUGAGUAAUGCCUAGGAAAUUGCCCUGAUGUGGGGGAUAACCAUUGGAAACGAUGGCUAAUACCGCAUGAUGCCUACGGGCCAAAGAGGGGGACCUUCGGGCCUCUCGCGUCAGGAUAUGCCUAGGUGGGAUUAGCUAGUUGGUGAGGUAAGGGCUCACCAAGGCGACGAUCCCUAGCUGGUCUGAGAGGAUGAUCAGCCACACUGGAACUGAGACACGGUCCAGACUCCUACGGGAGGCAGCAGUGGGGAAUAUUGCACAAUGGGCGCAAGCCUGAUGCAGCCAUGCCGCGUGUGUGAAGAAGGCCUUCGGGUUGUAAAGCACUUUCAGUCGUGAGGAAGGUGGUGUAGUUAAUAGCUGCAUUAUUUGACGUUAGCGACAGAAGAAGCACCGGCUAACUCCGUGCCAGCAGCCGCGGUAAUACGGAGGGUGCGAGCGUUAAUCGGAAUUACUGGGCGUAAAGCGCAUGCAGGUGGUUUGUUAAGUCAGAUGUGAAAGCCCGGGGCUCAACCUCGGAAUAGCAUUUGAAACUGGCAGACUAGAGUACUGUAGAGGGGGGUAGAAUUUCAGGUGUAGCGGUGAAAUGCGUAGAGAUCUGAAGGAAUACCGGUGGCGAAGGCGGCCCCCUGGACAGAUACUGACACUCAGAUGCGAAAGCGUGGGGAGCAAACAGGAUUAGAUACCCUGGUAGUCCACGCCGUAAACGAUGUCUACUUGGAGGUUGUGGCCUUGAGCCGUGGCUUUCGGAGCUAACGCGUUAAGUAGACCGCCUGGGGAGUACGGUCGCAAGAUUAAAACUCAAAUGAAUUGACGGGGGCCCGCACAAGCGGUGGAGCAUGUGGUUUAAUUCGAUGCAACGCGAAGAACCUUACCUACUCUUGACAUCCAGAGAACUUUCCAGAGAUGGAUUGGUGCCUUCGGGAACUCUGAGACAGGUGCUGCAUGGCUGUCGUCAGCUCGUGUUGUGAAAUGUUGGGUUAAGUCCCGCAACGAGCGCAACCCUUAUCCUUGUUUGCCAGCGAGUAAUGUCGGGAACUCCAGGGAGACUGCCGGUGAUAAACCGGAGGAAGGUGGGGACGACGUCAAGUCAUCAUGGCCCUUACGAGUAGGGCUACACACGUGCUACAAUGGCGCAUACAGAGGGCGGCCAACUUGCGAAAGUGAGCGAAUCCCAAAAAGUGCGUCGUAGUCCGGAUUGGAGUCUGCAACUCGACUCCAUGAAGUCGGAAUCGCUAGUAAUCGUGGAUCAGAAUGCCACGGUGAAUACGUUCCCGGGCCUUGUACACACCGCCCGUCACACCAUGGGAGUGGCUUU
This 1371-nucleotide ribosomal RNA is filed under the name Vibrio neocaledonicus. RNAcentral's name for it is "bacterial SSU rRNA". It matches the Rfam family "Bacterial small subunit ribosomal RNA", at positions 66 to 1417 of the family's 1533-position model. Lineage: Bacteria; Pseudomonadati; Pseudomonadota; Gammaproteobacteria; Vibrionales; Vibrionaceae. The record is from RNAcentral.